AUUGAACGCUGGCGGCAUGCUUUACACAUGCAAGUCGAACGGCAGCACGGGUGCUUGCACCUGGUGGCGAGUGGCGAACGGGUGAGUAAUGCAUCGGAACGUGCCCAUGAGUGGGGGAUAGCCCGGCGAAAGCCGGAUUAAUACCGCAUACGCCCUUAGGGGGAAAGCGGGGGGAUCUUCGGACCUCGCGCUAUUGGAGCGGCCGAUGUCGGAUUAGCUAGUAGGUGAGGUAAAGGCUCACCUAGGCGACGAUCCGUAGCUGGUCUGAGAGGAUGAUCAGCCACACUGGGACUGAGACACGGCCCAGACUCCUACGGGAGGCAGCAGUGGGGAAUUUUGGACAAUGGGCGCAAGCCUGAUCCAGCCAUGCCGCGUGAGUGAAGAAGGCCUCGGUU
This 395-nucleotide ribosomal RNA is filed under the name uncultured bacterium. RNAcentral's name for it is "bacterial SSU rRNA". It matches the Rfam family "Bacterial small subunit ribosomal RNA", at positions 28 to 424 of the family's 1533-position model. The record is from RNAcentral.